GUGACAUCAUGGUCCUCCUUGACCUCAUGGAUGCCGGAUCCCUUGAAUCCCUACUUCGCCGUUGCAGUGGCGCCCCUCUUCUCGAGCCAUCCUCACGAUCCCUUUCGAGAAGCCGUUCAUCGUGGCGCUCAGCCUUCUUCAACUCGGCCACACACCGCGCGAGCAACAUCCCAUUCUCAUGAUCCCUUUCGAGAAGCCGUUCAGCGUCGGUCUUAUAGCAGAUUUCCCAAGCGAUAGCAAUCGAGCAGAGGAAAGAGCAUAGGAGGGGGAUCCAAGAGGGGACAGCGGAGGAGAGGAGGAUGAGGAUGAGGGUGGAGUGGAGGGCGAAGGAGGCGCAGACCCGUCUUUUUCUUCUUCUUCUUCUUCUUCUUCCUCGCUGCAUUGCUCCCUACUCCAAAGAACUGAUGAAAGAGGAAUUCUCAAAGAAGCAAAUCUUGAAAGAAAGCUUCAAAACUCUGCUAAGAAAAACAUCACACCUAUGACCACCAAACAGAGAGAUGAAAUUCAUGCAACACCAAGGUUAUAUAUAUAUAAAGAUCAGCCAGAAAAACAACAGAAGAUGGUGAAGUUGGCAACACCAAGCGAAAUGUCAGCAAAGAAGAACACAAAUAUGAAAGGGAAAAACAAACAAACAUCCAUUCCAAAAGAACCAAAUUUUCAAAGAAUUGGGAUUGCCUUUGGCCCCAUUUAUCAGGUUUCCAUGCUUCUUCUCUUCAAUGUCUUCUCAUUGGACAAUGGCAACACUGUCAAUUGGCGUUCAAUAAGGUUGUAAAGAGAGACAAACUCAAAGGUGUCAUACAGAGGACUGCGACAGUCCCAUAUGGACACCUCUUCUUUCAUUUAUGGUCUCAAGGGAUAGUAUGUAACUAUUGUUUUUGCAUUUAGUUUUGUCUUCCUCAUUGUUGGCAAACCAUCAGUUUUUAUAUCUUUUGAUACAAUGCUUUAAACAAUAUUUGAAUAUAGUCUUCAUAUGAUCUAUAUUGUAUCCAUUUAUUUAAGAACUUCGAAAGAUUAAGUUCAU
Dioscorea cayenensis subsp. rotundata (Guinea yam) is the source of this 1021-nucleotide long non-coding RNA. RefSeq lists it as uncharacterized. The record is from RefSeq and is a predicted model, not a curated record. NCBI's taxonomy places the organism in Eukaryota, Viridiplantae, Streptophyta, Magnoliopsida, Dioscoreales, Dioscoreaceae. The transcript is spliced from 5 exons.